UGACUUCAGUUAGAGUUUUUACUCAAAUCUGAGAAAAUGCAGGAAAAUACAUUUCCCAGAAUGAACUGAAAUCGAUAUUAAACUCAAACAUAGUACACAAUUUGAGUUUGAGGCAUAGAUAACUUAAGUUGUUUGGACUUUUCUAUUUUAAAAAUGCAGUUCAGUUAAAAGUUUAGCUGUUUCAAAUUGUCAAAACUCGGUUUGAAAUUUCAGU
This is a long non-coding RNA of Haliotis rubra (blacklip abalone), 214 nucleotides long. RefSeq lists it as uncharacterized. NCBI's taxonomy places the organism in Eukaryota, Metazoa, Mollusca, Gastropoda, Lepetellida, Haliotidae. The transcript has 3 exons. The record is from RefSeq and is a predicted model, not a curated record.